UACGAGGGGGGCAAGCGUUGUUCGGAAUUACUGGGCGUAAAGGGCUCGUAGGCGGCCAACUAAGUCCGACGUGAAAUCCCCAAGCUUAACUUGGGAACUGCGUCGGAUACUGGAUGGCUUGAAUUCGGGAGAGGGAUGCAGAAUUCCAGGUGUAGCGGUGAAAUGCGUAGAUAUCUGGAGGAAUACCGGUGGCGAAGGCGGCAUCCUGGACCGACAUUGACGCUGAGGAGCGAAAGCUAGGGGAGCAAACGGG
Molecule: ribosomal RNA, 253 nt
Filed under: uncultured bacterium
Lineage: Bacteria
Description: partial 16S ribosomal RNA
Rfam family: Bacterial small subunit ribosomal RNA
Source: RNAcentral